UGCCUGAAGGUAAGUGCUAUGACCUUUCCUUGUAGUUGUGGAACUUGGUGCUGUUAUCCAUGGGUUUGUCACCUGAAGACUUGAGAAUUGCAAUGAAGUAAAGGGAGCUAAAUCCCCUGGGAAAUGAGGAACUGGUGCUGAAGGCAAGCAUCCUGCUAAGUAAGCAGGGUAUCUCGUUUGCAUAAAAGCCAAGAUCCAAUGAGAGAGCUCUCUUUGGGUAGGCGCUAAGCCAUGGGGACCUGAAGACAGUUGGUGUUUCUUGGAAAUGGGCUCUGACUCCUCUACUUUUCUGCUUCACAGGGAAAGAAGAUAUUUUGGGUCACAAUACGGACCUACACUUUUCUCAGCUGGUAAAAAAACGUAGUCCAUAUUUCUUCCUAGCAAAAGUCUGGCUCUACCUCAACUUCAGCAGUCACAAAGACUAAUAUGUAACAAGGAUUGCAUUAAAAAUGUAACGUAAAAAUAUGUCUUUAGUAAAAGGAAAUGGGAAUUGCACAAUUUUUUUCUUAUUUCUCUGGAGAAAAAAAGGGUUUCUAGAUACAAGCCGCUUUUUGCCUAUUUCAGUCUCUGUGCUUCUUAUUCCACUGCUUUAGCAGGCUUGUAAUGAACGAAGAGAUAGAAUAUGGGAAAGUGACAUAGGUAGUAAAUUGUGUAAGUUAUAUAAACGCAUGGCAAUAGCAAGCAGAUUUCAAUGCUAAUGCAGACAGCAGAGAUUUCUACAGUUAAGGAAGAAAGGAGGGAACCUGCAGCAUCUGAAGAGAGAUCGGCUGACUGAACUCCAGCGCCUGCUCCAGCCUGUAGAUGGGAGACAGCCACAGAUGGGGAAAGUGGAAGCAACUCUUGAAACCUGCAGAAGUGACAAUUAGCUGAAGCUUGAGCUUUGGUAAUAAAGGGAAAGAGAUCAUUAACCAUAAGAGAUGAGAGUUUGUGGAGGACCAAAGAAAAAAGAAAGGGGGAAAAAAAAAAACAAAACUCUUUAACUCUGGAGUUUUUAAAAGUGCCCUUGUUUGUUUUCUUGGCAGAGAAGCAGAGCAUUUGGCACCCAUCCUUGGAAGGUGUCCCAGCUGUAAAAAUGCUGGGGUUGGCCCUUUCCAUGCUGUUGCUAAGCGGAUGGCCCAAUAGCCAGCAGGGCCCUCCAAACCCCACCCCGCUCUCCGGUCGGAUCCAGGCUUCAGCCCACUUGUAUUAAAAGCCUCUCUUCUCCCACUUGCUAAUAAUAAUAAUUU
Long non-coding RNA from Pezoporus occidentalis (night parrot), 1226 nucleotides. RefSeq lists it as uncharacterized. The transcript has 2 exons. Lineage: Eukaryota; Metazoa; Chordata; Aves; Psittaciformes; Psittacidae. The record is from RefSeq and is a predicted model, not a curated record.